This 1208-nucleotide long non-coding RNA is filed under the name Lactuca sativa (garden lettuce). RNAcentral describes it as "long non-coding RNA (LSAT_LNC005487)". Lineage: Eukaryota; Viridiplantae; Streptophyta; Magnoliopsida; Asterales; Asteraceae. The record is from RNAcentral.
AAAAGACCCUUUUACGACGCGCAAACCACGACACUCCUUGAUUUAUGUUACGCAAAAGCAUGUGACAUUAAAAGAGUGUCAUCUCUUAAAAAAUUGAAGGAUUUAGGUCGCGCAUUAUUGCGUGCCCUUAAAUUAGUGUCUAACUAAAAAACACGGAGGGCACCUAUACUAAAAUGUGUGUCGUUUAAGGAUGUUGCUUUAUAAAUUUUAAUGGAACGCGCGUUUUCCAACCUUUGAUAAUUAAGCGGGAGCGAAAUCCUCAAAAAUUAGAAAACUCCGCCUUUUUCUCAUCUUCCUUCGUUUCUACUUUUCUCUUUUCCAUGGUUUAGCUUAAUGAAGCUCUGUGAAUUCCAUGAGUUAUCGUUAUGAAGUAUGGAAUGCAAAGCUUGAUUCUCGUUUGUUUCUAAUUUCCCAUAGAUAAAUCAAAACAACACACAGAAGAAGAACCCUAACGUGCGUCUUCCUUCUUUGUAGUUAGCGGGAGGUCUUUUAUUUUCUUCUAAAAUCCCAAUUCUCUCAUUUUUUCUAUUGAGAUUGAGGUUUUUUUUGUUCCUAAAAUUAGACUUUACAAAUUCAUUACGAUUGAGGGCUCUAUNNNNNNNNNNNNNNNNNNNNNNNNNNNNNNNNNNNNNNNNNAUCACUACAAGAAAAAGACCCUUUUACGACGCGCAAACCACGACACUCCUUGAUUUAUGUUACGCAAAAGCGUGUGACAUUAAAAGAGUGUCAUCUCUUAAAAAAAUUUAAGGAUUUAGGUCGCGCAUUAUUGCGUGCCCUUAAAUUAGUGUCUAACUAAAAAACACGGAGGGCACCUAUACUAAAAUGUGUGUCGUCUAAGGAUGUCGCUUUAUAAAUUUUAAUGGAACGCGCGUUUUCCAACCUUUGAUAGCUAAGCGGGAACGAAAUCCUCAAAAAUUAGAAAACUCCGCCUUUUUCUCAUCUUCCUUCGUUUCUACUUUUCUCUUUUCCAUGGUUUAGCUUAAUGAAGCUCUGUGAAUUCCAUGAGUUAUCGUUAUGAAGUAUGGAAUGCAAAGCUUGAUUCUCGUUUGUUUCUAAUUUCCCAUAGAUAAAUCAAAACAACACACAGACGAAGAACCCUAACGUGCGUCUUCCUUCUUUGUAGUUAGCGGGAGGUCUUUUAUUUUCUUCUAAAAUCCCGAUUCUCUCAUUUUUUCUAUUGAGAUUGAGGUUUUUUUGCUCCCGAAAAU